Molecule: ribosomal RNA, 468 nt
Filed under: uncultured bacterium
Lineage: Bacteria
Description: partial 16S ribosomal RNA
Rfam family: Bacterial small subunit ribosomal RNA
Source: RNAcentral
GACGAACGCUGGCGGCGUGCUUAACACAUGCAAGUCGAACGGAAAGGCCCUGCUUUUGUGGGGUGCUCGAGUGGCGAACGGGUGAGUAACACGUGAGUAACCUGCCCUUGACUUUGGGAUAACUUCAGGAAACUGGGGCUAAUACCGGAUAGGAGCUCCUGCUGCAUGGUGGGGGUUGGAAAGUUUCGGCGGUUGGGGAUGGACUCGCGGCUUAUCAGCUUGUUGGUGGGGUAGUGGCUUACCAAGGCUUUGACGGGUAGCCGGCCUGAGAGGGUGACCGGCCACAUUGGGACUGAGAUACGGCCCAGACUCCUACGGGAGGCAGCGGUGGGGAAUAUUGCACAAUGGGCGGAAGCCUGAUGCAGCAACGCCGCGUGCGGGAUGACGGCCUUCGGGUUGUAAACCGCUUUCGCCUGUGACGAAGCGUGAGUAACGGUAAUGGGUAAAGAAGCACCGGCUAACUACGUG